AUGGCUAUGGCGCUGCGCACCAUGGCCGCCAAGCUGAAGCAGAAGAUCCCCGCCGCUGUCCAGCGGGUUCGCGUCUCUUCUCGUGCUCCGGCACCUGCUGAUGCUGACUUCGACCGCUUCGGCUUCGGCCCAGAGUUUCGCCGGGCACUGGACAAGAUUGUAGAGAAACACAGGAAGAGGCGCAGGGACGAGGCCUUAGCCUGUGGUGCUGGCUUCAGUCUUGGAGCACUCACCUUUUUGCUUGGGGUCCAUAGGCUCGGUUGA
Molecule: ribosomal RNA, 264 nt
Filed under: Triticum aestivum (bread wheat)
Lineage: Eukaryota; Viridiplantae; Streptophyta; Magnoliopsida; Poales; Poaceae
Description: partial small subunit ribosomal RNA
Source: RNAcentral